Molecule: ribosomal RNA, 214 nt
Filed under: uncultured bacterium
Lineage: Bacteria
Description: partial 16S ribosomal RNA
Rfam family: Bacterial small subunit ribosomal RNA
Source: RNAcentral
CCUGCCUCUUAGCGGGGGAUAACUAUUGGAAACGAUAGCUAAUACCGCAUAAAAGUCGAUAUCGCAUGAUAUUGAUUUGAAAGGUGCAAUUGCAUCACUAAGAGAUGGACCUGCGUUGUAUUAGCUAGUUGGUGAGGUAACGGCUCACCAAGGCGACGAUACAUAGCCGACCUGAGAAGGUGAUCGGCCACACUGGGACUGAGACACGGCCCAG